RNAcentral lists this unclassified non-coding RNA (197 nucleotides) under fungal sp. RNAcentral's name for it is "partial internal transcribed spacer region". The stretch from base 1 to 46 matches the Rfam family "Eukaryotic small subunit ribosomal RNA", at positions 1786 to 1831 of the family's 1831-position model. The record is from RNAcentral. Lineage: Eukaryota; Fungi.
AAGUCGUAACAAGGUCUCCGUUGGUGAACCAGCGGAGGGAUCAUUAGCGAUUCGACACAAAAACCCUGUGCAUUUACCGCUAUUCUCUGGCAGGGUGCCCUGGGGAGGGCCAUGCCACCUGCCAGAUUUUUACUCUCGUACCCUCUGAAUUUGAGUUUAAAAGUCUAAAACUCUCAACAAUGGAUCUCUUGGCUCCG